UCUACCCUACCCUGAACACGCCUGGUCUUAUCUGAACUCAAAAGCUAAGCAGGGUCAGGCCUGGUUAGUACUUGGAUGGGAGACCUACAGGAUGCUGUAGGCUUUGGUGGGA
Molecule: ribosomal RNA, 112 nt
Filed under: Chelonoidis abingdonii (Abingdon island giant tortoise)
Lineage: Eukaryota; Metazoa; Chordata; Testudines; Testudinidae
Source: RNAcentral